ACUCCUACGGGAGGCAGCAGUGGGGAAUUUUGGACAAUGGGCGAAAGCCUGAUCCAGCCAUGCCGCGUGCAGGAUGAAGGCCUUCGGUUGUAAACUGUCUUUGUUACGGAACGAAAGACUCUGGUUAAUACCUGGGGUCCGAUGACGGUACCGUAAGAAUAAGCACCGGCUAACUACGUGCCAGCAGCCGCGGUAAUACGUAGGUGCAAGCGUUAAUCGGAAUUACUGGGCGUAAAGCGUGCGCAGGCGGUUAUAUAAGACAGAUGUGAAAUCCCCCGGGCUCAACCUGGGAACUGCAUUUGUGACUGUAUAGCUAGAGUACGGCAGAGGGGAUGGAAUUCCGCGUGUAGCAGUGAAAUGCGUAGAUAUGCGGAGGAACACCGAUGGCGAAGGCAAUCCCCUGGGCCUGUACUGACGCUCAUGCACGAAAGCGUGGGAGCAAACAGGAUUAGAUACCCCUGGUAGCGACUGA
Molecule: ribosomal RNA, 472 nt
Filed under: uncultured bacterium
Lineage: Bacteria
Description: bacterial SSU rRNA
Rfam family: Bacterial small subunit ribosomal RNA
Source: RNAcentral